This 434-nucleotide ribosomal RNA is filed under the name uncultured bacterium. RNAcentral's name for it is "partial 16S ribosomal RNA". It matches the Rfam family "Bacterial small subunit ribosomal RNA", at positions 29 to 507 of the family's 1533-position model. The record is from RNAcentral.
AGCGAACGCUGGCGGCAGGCCUAACACAUGCAAGUCGAACGAACCUUUCGGGGUUAGUGGCGGACGGGUGAGUAACACGUGGGAACGUGCCUUUAGGUUCGGAAUAACUCAGGGAAACUUGUGCUAAUACCGAAUGUGCCCUUCGGGGGAAAGAUCGAUUGCCUUUAGAGCGGCCCGCGUCGGGUUAGCUAGUUGGUUGAGGUAAUGGCUCACCAAGGCGACGAUCAGUAGCUGGUCUGAGAGGAUGAUCAGCCACAUUGGGACUGAGACACGGCCCAAACUCCUACGGAAGGCAGCAGUGGGGUAUCUUGCGCGAUGGGCGAAAGCCUGACGCAGCCAUGCCGGGUGAAUGAUGAAGGUCUUAGGAUUGUAAAAUUCUUUCACCGGGGACGAUAGUGACGGUACCCGGAGAAGAAGCCCCGGCUAACUACGUG